UUGACCCAGAAGGAAGGAAGCUCUCACUCAUCGGUCCUUUAUGACCCUUGCCAGGUCUCUGGGUCAGCGCAGAAGGGCUGGGCCAGUUCAGCUAAGUGGAAUUAGACAGUUUCAGAAUGAGAGCCCCAGACACUUACAGCAGUGAUGAGUUUCUCUCUGAAGAAUUCAAUAUUAGCAAAGAAGAUCGGAGAGGAGCAUCUGAAAAUCUUCACUCCCUCUGGCUCAUAGAUCUGCACAAUGAAGCAGAAGUAUUUUGAUGAAAUGGAUGAAAAUGAAGUUAAGGGAGAGAAUCAACUCAAAAUAGGAUGCCUACUUCCUUAAACUGCAUGAGCAUUCCUUUCAAGUUGCCAAGGGCCAAAGAUGCAAGGACUGACUGUUAAAAAGACCAAAACACAUGCUGAAUAUCUAAGCAAGCAAAGAACAUGUUGAACGUUAGGAAUUAAGAGAUCAUACUAAUAGGGCCAAAGUGCAGCUGAAGGGCUCCUAGUACAUCACAACUGAUGGAACCUCCCCAGCUGUGGUACAGGUGUCUGACUUGAGGCUGCAAAUCCCACUUACUUAUGGCACCUGAAAGCUGGUGCUGUGGUGGUUGAUGUUCGAGUAGUUGUGUUUCCUUUGAAGGACCAGAUGUAGUGGUCCUUUCUGGCAUGAUGUGGGAAAAAGAACCAAGUUUUCCAAAACCCUGCUUUGCUCCCCCUGAAGUCUAUGAACAGUCAGAGUGACUCCUAGAGCAGCCCUGUCUUUGGCAAGCAGGAGGAAGCACCAAGUGAAACCAGUGAAUACCUUCUGUAAUGGUUCCAGGAGAAACCCAAUGGCCAAGAUCACAACCAAGACGAUGACAGAUGAGAUAAUACCAGCAAUCUGCAUGAGAGAACAA
Long non-coding RNA from Chiroxiphia lanceolata (lance-tailed manakin), 877 nucleotides. RefSeq lists it as uncharacterized. NCBI's taxonomy places the organism in Eukaryota, Metazoa, Chordata, Aves, Passeriformes, Pipridae. The record is from RefSeq and is a predicted model, not a curated record. The transcript is spliced from 4 exons.